UUUUUUUUUUUUUUUUUUUUUUUUUUAACACACUGCUGUGUUGGUGCUGCUUGGGGAGGUGUGAAAACGCAGGGACAGGCCAAAACUAGCACAGCCACUAUAACCACUUGGACUUCUGUGAAGGUUACUGGUUGCAGGAAUAAAGAUGAAUAAUUGUAGUAGCUUAACUUUUCACUCUAUGAUUGUGUGGCUCCAUGCAGCAUAUGCUCCUAAAGGAUAAAAACUCUGCCCCAGAAAUACUGAUAAUCUUACUCUCCUUAUCUCACUGAUUUAUCCCAGUCUUGAUCUAAACAAUAAUAAACUUGGGAGAGAAGGAGGGAGGAAAGUGUUUUAUUGUUUAAGAAAAUAAAUUCCUGACUCAAUCAAAAUAUGCCCUUUCUAUCAGAGGAAAUGACAGGGUACUUUCUUUGUUAAAUUCUAGUAGGAAAUUAAUUUUAAUGUUUCAUUCUCAGGCUCUUUUGGUUCUGUGGCAUAAAAGUGUGGCAUGGGAAAAUCAGAUUAAUUUGUUCCAAUUGCUGCAUGCGGCUCAGAUUUUACUUGUCCUCUGUGUGAAAUUUAUAUUGCACAAUAUCGUGUUUGUCAUUCAGCUUAAUUUGUCCAUUAAAAGGCACUGCCAUACUUCCAUUUUAUUUUAAUAUUUGCAUCUCCCAAGCAAUGGAAAAAAAAACAAAAAACCUUUCUGUUACUGAAACAGCUGUUGGAGUGAAGGGAUGGUAAGUACUGCUUGCAUUGGCUCUUGUCACGGGGAGGUUACAGACUAUUUCUGGUAGAAUCCUGUCAGUAUAGUUAGCAAGCCUCUAAUCUGACAAACGGGCAAAGCUGAAAGAGUAAAUGAUAUGUUUGGCAGCUUUAAAUGAGUCAGAGGGAUGGUUAGAAAACAGGUUUUUAGUUUAAGAUUCUUCAAGGCAACCAUUAAACCACCUUUUGGGCCCUUUGGGUAUGGGCAUCUCCCUGGUGUUUGGUGAAGGAAAUAGAGUGUGGCCCACACAGUCACAUUUCUGAGCCAGAUGCUGACUAACCUUUUGGCAAUUGAGACAGGAAGGCAUUAAGCAAGGUGAGAUCUGUGAGAGAGCAAAGAGCACAUUUUCUGCUUUAUAUUUUUCUGCUUUAUUACAAUGUUUUUACCAAUUUUUCUACCGCCGCUAAAGGAUAUGUGUGCAUGUAGCUUGGCGUAGAGCAUGCUUACUUGCAACAAGGAAAGUAAGAUUGCUUUUGGCAAUCCUGUGUCUCCUUACUGGGUGCCACCAGGCAGAAGUGACCUGGGUCCUCCUAGAAGAGCAUUCUCAUCUUUAUCUUCAAACAUAACAUAAACACAAUCUAACCUCUCUUCUCCCAAGUACUUAGUUGUGUCCUAAUGUCCACCUAAUGCCAAAGUGUAAUCCCAAACCUGAAGGCAGAUUUCCUGCCAUGAUGAUCCCACCACAGUGCAGCCUACACAGAACAGUAUGGUGAGCACAUACAAAAGCUCUGUCCUAAGAACAGUCUCUCUAGUCUUCAUUAACUGCUAGACCUACCCCAAAACCUUCUGGAAAAUUCAUAUGGAAAUUUUCUUGGUGUUUUGGUAAUGAAAUUAGCUGAAAGAUAAGAAGAGAGCACAUACUGGCAUAGAAUGUUAAAAUGCAAAAUAUGUAAUUAUAGACUCACAGUUGUAAUGACUCUAAUGGAUAUCAGAGACAAGUAUAAAAGGAGAAUAAAUUAUUUCAGGGCAUAAAGAAUCAGUUAUGGAUAAUUAAGCUGCAAUUAUCAUUACUAUGCCGCUAUGAUAGUUUUUUUUUUAAACUAAUUUUUCUAAAAUGGAAAAAUGCAAGUUAAGCAUGAAUUCAUCUAUUAUUUGCCAUUCAGAUAAAAACAUUUUUCUAGUGCUUUUCAAAAUGUGCCAGUGGGACAGAUCUCAGUUUUACACUAGCGAGAACACCAGGGAUUUUUAUGAAGUGAUUUAUUUCACAUCACAAAGGUGUUCAAUGGCAUCAUUUAAACUCAUAUUCAGUGAGGUGAAUAAACUCGUGCCCACUGCCAAUCAUGGAAAUCAGCAAUUAGGUUCCAACAGAGUUCUUGACAUGUUUAAGAUAAGGGUUUUGGUAAAUCUAAAAUCCAGGGCUCCAAUUCAGAGCAAGGACAUCACAGCUUAGAGUGGCCAGCAUUGUUCUUGGUUCAAUCUGCAGAUGGCGAGCCUGGAAAUCAGCUCCUAAAAAUCAGCUGAUUCAGUCUCAGUUGAGACCAAUGCUCAUUGGUGUCACCUUGCUUUAAAAGGGCCCUUGUAAAACAUGUCAGGUGAGUAUGCGCUCCGUGAGCAGGUGUGGUGUGGGAAGAAUCUCUGCUCAUGAGAUCAGAGCCCCAAGAUGGCAGCAGCAUUGCAAACAAUGAGCCAUGAAGGCAGUGGGACACCUUCUCUUCAUCUUCAGGCACGGCAGACUUUGCAGCUGGGGAGGAGCUCCUUACUGGUACCAAUGUACAAAUUCAGGUGUUAGAAGUGACAACCCAAAAUGUGGAUAGAGGACAACUUUGCCUGUAUUGCAUGGUAGCCUGCACAAAGGAGCAAAGAAAUGAAUUCCAGGUUUGCUCCUAGCACCAUCUCUCUAUGGAUGACCCAAGGUAGGAAUAUUUGCUGAAGAAUUACUUUUGAGUUCCUAAAGCCUUUGUAUCCUUUGGUAUUCUGGCUGGCUUCCAGCUGCUGCAGCGGAACUGUUGGGGCUCCCAGGGAGGUGGGGUUGUCUCAGAUACCUUGGACUUAUGGGAGAGAACUGCAUGCUUGGGUUUAGGUACCCACAUCCCAUCAGGGUUUUUUUGCAUGAUUGCCGUGACAGUAAACUCCUCAGUGCCGGGCUUGUCAACUACUUUAUAUGUUUUUAAAAAAGGGAUUUUUUUUAAAUGCUGAAAAUUUGGAAUAUACCAGAUUCUAAUGUUCCUACUUAAUCCAGACACCUCUUUCUACUGCUCAGCAUUUGUAGACUAAUCUUGAAGAACCAUAUUCACUCUACAACAGAUGGUCCUCAUAAGAGUAUUCAAAAACUUACUUUAUCAUCAUUAAUUAGCUGGAAGUCUUAUGUAUGCCUUGAUAGCAUCUGAAGCACUUAUCUUCUUAGAAACUACAUCAAUUCAUUAUGGUUCAAAAAUACUAAUGAACUUCUUUACUCUCCUGUUGAGGUAAAGUUAGAAGCAUUUUUUUAUUAUUAUACUAACUUGAAAUAAAGAACAAAAGGUUAGAUUUAUUUUUUGCUUUACAGAAAAGAAUUUAAAAAGCAUUUUGUUUCAGAAAAUUCAAAGGAAGGCCAAAAUAAUUUAUUAAUUUCUAAUAAUGAUAAUAUUUUUCUUUCUGUAAUAAUCACUAGGAUAUCAUUGUGCUAACUGUAAUUUGAAUUCUAAAGGUAUUUUCAUGCUGCUGAAUUAAUUUUCCCUAUACAGUACAUUUUGAAUGGACAGCUUCUCUUACAGCCCAACUUACAAAGUUUGUCUCCAAGGGAAAUGUAUCAGGUUACAUAAACAUUUUUUGAGGGGUUGGGUAUAUGUAUAAAACCCCACGUGCUGGAUGAAAGUGCUUUUAAAAUUUUACGCCAUUGAUUAAAUAUUGCAGGGUGUAUCAAACAAAAUAUUUUCUCUUGGUCAAGGUGACCUCUUCUUGCCUUCUAGACCAGAGUAUCUAUUUCACAAGACUAGCAUUUUUCCCCCUGAGAAGUAUCAGUUAAAUAGCAAAUUAAUUUUCUGAUUAAAAAUGAAAAUACUAGGAUGGAAAAGGCAUAGCUUGUUGUGAUUUUUAUAUAUGAAGCACUGAAGUUAAAUUCUAUCCAGCUGGCUGAAGUUUUCACUCCUGAGCUGCCCCCAGAUCUCAGCUGCAGACUUGUGGACAAACAAGUGCCAGUCACCCAUAUUUUGGGCAGUGCCUCAGUGUUGAUUUUUGUUACAGUAGUGGAGACUUGGGGCAGAAGGGGAAAAGCACCAACAACUCAAAGACUCUGCCAAGCCCUUCCUCAGGUGCACUAAACACAAGUGGUGAGAAGUCCUUGGGGUUCAGCUGUGUGUCUCCAGCUCACCGAGGGACAAGGGAGCUUGUGGCAGAUAACUUACUUAGAGAGGAGAUCCAAGCUGGUUGUUUUGUAGGGAAAAAACAAGUAGAACAAAAAGAGGUUUAGGCUGAAAAAGGUUUAUAGUACUAUGCUGUAAAAACAGUACCAACAAUGGGUUCCUGGUCUCUGUUUAUGUGUUUUUAAUGCUUGUCUUUGGAAGAGCAUUUAUUCACUGCUUUUAUACAUGUGUCUUCUUCCUAAAGGUGCAUGCCUUGAUCUUUGUUUUUUGGAGACAGUACAAAAGAGAUUUCCCCACAAAUUCCACUUCGGGGCUUUUAAAUAGCAGUUAAUUGCAUCACUGAUGCCAUGGGAGGUGGGCAUAACCCCUCACGCCACAGCAUGUGGGCAAAAGGAGCAGAUCCCUUGUCUUCUUGUGGUACAUGCACAUGUGUCUAGGAAUGAAACAGGGCUUUAUUCAGCUGUCAGUGAUCACACUGUCACAGAUAAUGUCUCACAAUUUGGGUUCUUAACUGAAAUCGGUCAAUAUAUUGUUCCCCUGGGAUCAGUUUGCAGCUCAGAUUCACUGCAGCAGUGAACAAAAUGAAACUAUUAUCCUCUUUUUGCCCCUCUUCUGUAAAUAGAACCAAUCCUUUUAGCUUCAGUUUUGUUUCUAGUCAUGAAACAAAGAAAAAACAAAAAACCAUAGUCUUCCCAUUCCUGUAACUGAGAUGGCUUAAAAGGGCUCUUACAUCUGCUUCCUAUUCCUUUGUGAUAACAGCUCUGGGAAAGAAAACAUGAUUUCCUAGUAUCUGUGAGAUGCUUGCAUGACAAGGCCAAAUAUACACAAACUCUCUGGAGACCUCUGGAAGAAGGAGUAGGUAUGCCAGUGACUGCAUGCUAGCAAGGCUGGGGUUGGAUGCUGCCCACAGCUGUGCCCCACAGCAGGAGGUCAGAGGGUCUGGAUAGGCUGGUGAGGCUCUGCACCUGGUGCUGCACCUUGGGGCUUGCCAAGCUGGGGGAAACUCUUAUAAGAUCCCACGGCUGAGUGAGACCUCUUGUGUAGGACCUUCUCACACCAGGCUGCAUCUGCAGUGGGAAAUGCAGCUUUCUUCCCUCUGCCAACAAUGCCUUGAGGCCCUGCAGGACUCAUUAACUUCUGAGAAGUUUGAGAGGCUUGUAUUUUUGUGGCUGCUGUAAAUUCAGUCUUAUUUGAAGAAGUGUUAAUGUUUCUGUUCCUUUCUGCUUUUAUCAGCUCCUUUUUGUCUCUGCUCUUUCUUCUUUCUUUCCUUCCUUCCUUCCUUAACUGGCUAUCAUACUUCUUUAGCCAAAAAGCAGUGUUUGUUCUGCAAAGUAAUAGGUUGAAGGAACACACUGGAGAUUUUUUUAGUGGAUGCAGCUAUUGCUACUUCUAGCAAAGACACAGGUGUGUGGUAGUGUGAUUGUAUUUCUGCACUGCAGUGUGUAACUGUGCACAUAUCCUGGUGCACGCUGUCCCAGGGUGGGCAGACACUCCAGCUUUCAGUCAAACAGCUUCAGGCUGCAAGCAAAGGAGUAUUUUCACAAAGGGGUGAAGCUGCAAAAUGUUUCCCUUCUGUCUGUGGAAGUUUUGAUACUCUUUAGAUUUAAUAAUAGCCUGUAAAACCUGCAGUGAGAUCGGAGGAAAUCUGCAAGAGACUACAGACAAGAAAAUGGAAAUAUUGUGUUUGAUUUUAAGUGUAUUGCUGAGUUUUACAUUGUGGUCACUCUUCCAAAUCCAGGUCCAAAACAUACCCUGGAUGCUGAAUGUUUACAUGCAGUAUUGUCUUAGCAAUUCCCUUGCAAAUUGUUGCAGAAACCUCUCCUAGCAAACUGCAGCUGGGACAUUUGCUCAGCAUCAAAAGUAUAGAUGAUUAGAGACAUAGUUUAAUAGUGGACUUGGCAGUGUUAAGUUUAUUGUAGGACUCAAUGACCUUAAGGGUCUUUGUCUGCCUAAAUGAUUCCAUGAUUCUCAGAGGUUUUGAGCUGGCAAAAUCUAAAUCUUGUUUCUAAAUUUGCAAUUUGUUUGUAAAACGUGAAUCAGCAAAUGUUACACUUUAACAUUCACAACUUAACUUGGUUUCAAAUUGACUGUGGUAACUCUGAGACUUGACUAAUGAAUUUUGUAAUAACCACCUUCACUACUUUGGGAACUGUGCUGUGCUGACAUUUCUCACACACAAAAUGCAGAGGCCUAGAAAUUCUUUUGGUGCUAUUAAGCAAGGUCAUUUUCUAAGUUUCUAAUCUCACCCUGGGAAACAUCAUUCUUGUGAAGAUGUGGCCAUCAGAAAAGUGAGAAAAGUGCACCCAAUUUAUUUCCUGUAAGAUCUGGGAUGACUUAAUAUCUUUUGGUGUCUGCUGGCACACAGGAUAGCUUCUUGUGGGAGUUUUGUGCCAAGGCAGUAGAUUGGGAGAUGCUCAAAAAUCUGAAGCUUGCAGAGGCAGUGGCAAUAAAUAUUUUUUUGGAAGCUGUCAUGGUCAUCGAUAAAAAACCAAAGUAUGUUCUUUUUGGGGAUGAUGACAGUAUCCAUUCUCAGAUUAGUUAGAUUUUGCCACAUAAGCCUAUCAUAAAAAGGCCUCAAGGAAACCCAGAAUUGCAUCCAUCUACAGUUAAAAAGUAGUUUGAUUAAUUGUAGCAUUUGGAACUUCUGCCAUGGUUUUCCUAAAGUAAGGAGACUUUUCCUGGAAGGACCUUCUGGAUCACUGCUAUACUGCUGCUUUUAUGAUUAUUUCAGGCAAACUCCUAGUAAUGGAUAGAAAGUAAUAAUCCUUUUGCAGUAGAACUAUGGCACAUUUUUAAUGUACAGUCUUAGUUGAUUGGUGGAAUCAUCUCCUUGCUACAUGUUUUUAAGAUGUGGUGUGGCAGGAAGUUUCAUGAGAGAAAGCUGGUAACCAUGAAAAUUCAUUUGUGGCACCUGGAUAUUUUUCCCUUCACACUUGUCUGAGACUGGUGGAACAACACUGCCUGCAGAAGCUGGUAGGGAACAACCUCUAAAAGAGACAUUGGGUAAGACUGGAGACAUCCUCUCAAUUUCUCCUUUAGACUCUUCUUUCUAUCCCUUCAAAUAAAUGCCAAAACCCAAAUGCCAAAACCUCCAAAGGUUAUAUCUAAGUGCUAUCAUUUAGAUGUGUUAGGAACACAAUAUCUUCAUCUGUUCAGAGAUUGAAUUCUCACUUCACUACACUUCAAAGUUUCAGCCUACUUCAUCUGAAUAUGAUUUGAGUGGCAGAUCCAUCCAUCUUGGAAAGGCAUUGUGUCUAAUUUUGUUCAAGAGAGAACUCUUUGACUUAGUGUGCUGCUUACAGCCUAAUACAGCACCCAAACACUGACAAGCCCUUUGUGCAUUCAGCAGAACGCAUCAGUAGCUGGAUUUCUUCAAGGUUUGAAAUGGUUUGUAGUCCAUUUUGGUGUCAUUUACCAAAGCAGUCCCUAUGAGGUACAAUGAUCUUAUGUUUUGUUCUCUGCUAAGUCUCUGAUCUCCAGAUCUAGGAACUGGCAGAUCUGCUAUUUCUUGAGUACUGUAGAACUGCAAAUGUAUAAUUUCACAAGUUAAUCUUGAAAUAGUGCAAGUGUAAAUGUCAGUAGCUUUCCACAUAGAUACAUUGCAUUUUUUGUAUUCCUUUACUUAUUAGAGUUUUAUAUUGCUUUUUUAUUGCAAGAGAAAUGAUAUUAAGCUUACUUAUGGUCUUUCAAAGGUAACACAGGGAAAUCAAAAUACUGUGUAAAUAGAUGCUGCUUAGAGACCUAGACUCUUCCUCAUUGAGAGAAUAAGUCUGCAUUCUUUAAGAACUGGACUUGGACAAACAGGUCUGGCUAUACUUGACUGAAUUACUCCUCCCACUGUCAUCUUUGUCUUGUGCAGUAGCAGUAGUACUACUACAAGUACUGCUACGCGUAGUACUUGUACAGGAGCAGAUUUUUCAGUGUCCAGAUCUUAGGCCAAAUGUCUCAGUUUUGAUCUUCUCAAAUUAACCUUGUUGCACAAGGUUGUGUGAGUAAAUUGAUAUGUGAAUGAACUUGUUUUUCCUCUCAAGUCUGUGAUGGUGUGUUGGAACUUAACUGAUGGGCUGAAACUUCUUUAUUUUUACCACUGUUGGAAACUAAUUUUAAGAACUGAUGCAUUUGAGGUAUAUAUAAAGAAAGUACGCAUCCUUGAAGUGAACAACAUGUGAUAUGUGAAAGAAGAGGAGGGAACAAGCAGCUAAAAAAGGUAAAGUUAGCAGUGUAAGUGUCAUUGGGCACAGACAGAUGGAUACCAGCUGUCAUUUUGGUAGAGACUAAGAUGAACUGUAUGAACGAGUAAGAAGAAUGUACUUUAACUGAACACUGCUAACCCUGUAGA
Molecule: long non-coding RNA, 8359 nt
Organism: Taeniopygia guttata (zebra finch)
Lineage: Eukaryota; Metazoa; Chordata; Aves; Passeriformes; Estrildidae
Source: Ensembl